Molecule: ribosomal RNA, 763 nt
Filed under: Bacillus subtilis
Lineage: Bacteria; Bacillati; Bacillota; Bacilli; Caryophanales; Bacillaceae
Description: bacterial SSU rRNA
Rfam family: Bacterial small subunit ribosomal RNA
Source: RNAcentral
UGCUAAUACAUGCAGUCGAGCGGACAGAUGGGAGCUUGCUCCCUGAUGUUAGCGGCGGACGGGUGAGUAACACGUGGGUAACCUGCCUGUAAGACUGGGAUAACUCCGGGAAACCGGGGCUAAUACCGGAUGGUUGUCUGAACCGCAUGGUUCAGACAUAAAAGGUGGCUUCGGCUACCACUUACAGAUGGACCCGCGGCGCAUUAGCUAGUUGGUGAGGUAACGGCUCACCAAGGCGACGAUGCGUAGCCGACCUGAGAGGGUGAUCGGCCACACUGGGACUGAGACACGGCCCAGACUCCUACGGGAGGCAGCAGUAGGGAAUCUUCCGCAAUGGACGAAAGUCUGACGGAGCAACGCCGCGUGAGUGAUGAAGGUUUUCGGAUCGUAAAGCUCUGUUGUUAGGGAAGAACAAGUGCCGUUCAAAUAGGGCGGCACCUUGACGGUACCUAACCAGAAAGCCACGGCUAACUACGUGCCAGCAGCCGCGGUAAUACGUAGGUGGCAAGCGUUGUCCGGAAUUAUUGGGCGUAAAGGGCUCGCAGGCGGUUUCUUAAGUCUGAUGUGAAAGCCCCCGGCUCAACCGGGGAGGGUCAUUGGAAACUGGGGAACUUGAGUGCAGAAGAGGAGAGUGGAAUUCCACGUGUAGCGGUGAAAUGCGUAGAGAUGUGGAGGAACACCAGUGGCGAAGGCGACUCUCUGGUCUGUAACUGACGCUGAGGAGCGAAAGCGUGGGGAGCGAACAGGAUUAGAUACCCUGGUA